Molecule: ribosomal RNA, 84 nt
Filed under: Oscillospiraceae bacterium
Lineage: Bacteria; Bacillati; Bacillota; Clostridia; Eubacteriales; Oscillospiraceae
Source: RNAcentral
GUUAGUGUUGAUGACGUCGGGGGUACACUCGUUCCCAUACCGAACACGAAAGUUAAGUCCGAUGGUGUCGAAAAUACUUGGCUG